RNAcentral lists this long non-coding RNA (1254 nucleotides) under Callithrix jacchus (white-tufted-ear marmoset). RNAcentral describes it as "lncRNA (ENSCJAG00000076795.1)". Lineage: Eukaryota; Metazoa; Chordata; Mammalia; Primates; Cebidae. The record is from RNAcentral.
GGGAGAGCCGGGGGCUGCGGGGCGGGGCGCGGCGGGGGACGGAGGCCCCCGGGUCCGCACGGCACGGGGCCACAGGGCGCGCCUCCUUACCGGCUCUGGGUGCCUGUGCAGCCCCUGGGUGAGCGCGGUGCCGCCGAGGGGCCGGGGUCGCUGACCUCGUCCGGCUGGUGCCUGGCCUCUGGCGGAGGCUCUCUCCCGGCUCGACGGCGGAGCCCGGAGCUAGGAGCCAGUUGGAGCGCUGCCGCCGCCGUCGUCGCCGCUGCCGCUACUGCCGCCGCCGCCGCCGCUGCAGCCUCUGCAUUUCUCGCGCUCGCUCCCCCUCCCCUUCCUGCCCAGCGCCCUCCCCCCCGCGCGUCUGCCCGCCCAGCCUCCCUCCUCCCGCGCUCCCCGCCCGCCGCUUUCCCCUCCCUCCAGCCCGGUGCCCCGCCCGCCUCCCCUCCACUCCCUCCAGCUCGGUGCUCCCCACCCCCUGCACUCCCUCUACUCCCUCCCUAUCCAUCCCUCCGGCGCAGACCCUCCCCUCUCCUCCAGCCCCAACACGCCCGCCUCCACUUCACUCCCCCCAGCUCUGGGCCCUCACCUCCCCUCCCCUCCAGCACAGUCACCCCCAUUUCUCUCCCCUCCUCCAUCCUGGUCCCUCCCUUCCCCCCACCUCUCCCCCCUCCCUCCAACCCAGUGCCCCGCCAAUGUUUCCUAACUGCCCUCUAUUCAGAUCCCCCUCCGCCUCCCCUCUCCUCCCCUCCAUUCCGGUGCCCCCCUUCCCCCUUCCCCCGCCGCGCCUGGGCUGUCCGUGGGCUCCUCUCUCUCUCUCUGUCUCUCCCCCCACCCCCGCUUCUCAUUUAUUCGGAACGGUUGGAGAAGUGCUUGGGCUCUCGCUCAGACUUAGGGAGCUGCCUCGAGGUGAUGCCUGACGCCCAGGGCACCAGCUACGCUUCUCAGACCCCAGUCCAGCCAGCUCCCGACGAUGGCUGCGAUUCCGCUACCACCGCGGGCAGCGAGGUUGGGGUGAGCCCCAGCUGCGCGUCUGGGCGGCGCAGUUGCAAACGAAUUGCGCACCUCGGGCGGCUCCGCACCUGCAUCUACACCCGCAGGCGCACACGCGGGGCUGAGCCCCGAAGGCUGCAGCUUCAGGGAGGCGCGGCCGCAGAGGUCCAGGUGGCAGAGCUAGCCACGUCGCCCCUCGGAGGAUGCUCUCGGGACUUGGGAGAAGAAGGAGGGAAGAGAAGAGGGGAAAGGGGCCGUCGAUGUUUCUGA